Molecule: long non-coding RNA, 2398 nt
Organism: Eriocheir sinensis (Chinese mitten crab)
Lineage: Eukaryota; Metazoa; Arthropoda; Malacostraca; Decapoda; Varunidae
Exons: 3
Source: RefSeq, a predicted model, not a curated record
UCUCUGCUUCUGUUAUCUAUUUAGUUUCUCUGUAUUUUCUUUGACUUUCUCUCUACUUCUGUUAUCUAUUUAGUUUCUCGUUUGUAUUUUCUUUGACUUUCUCUCUGCUUCUCUUUUGUUCCGCGUAGUUUUCCGUUUCCAUUUUCUCUCACUUGUUCACUAGUCCUAUUUUUCUACGUAUUUUCAGAGUGAUUCAUCUAUCCGUGCUAAGUUUGGAUGUAUUUUUGGCCACAGCGACUUUCCAUUAACUCAAAACCUGCAUUUAUGAAGGAAUUUAGGCUAAUAACACUCUGAGAACAUGUGUUGAUGAGAAAUGAACGAGAUUAUCUGAGUGGAUGGGGCCGGAAAGGUUAAGGCCAUGGAGUAGUAGUAGUAGUAGUAGUAGUAGGAGGAGGAGGAGGAGGAGGAAUAGUAACAGUAAGAAAGGUUAUAUGUGCAGGACAGUGGUGGUAUUAGUAUUAGUAUUAUCAGUAGUAGUAGUAGUAGUAUCAGUAGUAGUAAUCGAAAUAGUAGUUGUAACGAUAGUAGUAGAACAAAGCAUACUAACUUUACCAACACUCAACACUUAUAUGCAAUACUCUACGAACGUGCACCUAACCCAAAUGCAACAUAUCCGUGACAUCUCAAAAACCUGUGAGAUUAUAAGCAACACAAAGACCCAUUCCCCAUAGAAACACAGAGGGGAUGGGAGGUGGGUGGGGAGACAGAGAGCGAGACGCAUAUGUGUACGUUACCUCACUCCCUUCCCCUUCUUUCCCUCCGGUCCCUCCCAGCCUCGAGGCCUCGUUAACACUGUGGGGAGGUUGUAUACAUUGUCAGGUGGGAAGGAUAUUAAUAGUCGAGGGGCCGCUGACCGCUCUAUACGCCGCCAGAAGGGAUAUUUGGGGCCCUGCGUAGGUUUGGUUUGGUUUGGUUUGGUGAGGUUUUGAUGAGUUUUGGUUUGGUGAGGUUUUGAUGAGUUUUGGUUUGGUGAGGUUUUGAUGAGUUUUGGUUUGGUGAGGUUUUGAUGAGUUUUGGUUUGGUGAGGUUUUGAUGAGUAUUGGUUUGGUGAGGUUUUGAUGAGUUUUGGUUUGGUGAGGUUUUGAUGAGUUUUGGUUUGGUGAGGUUUUGAUGAGUUUUGGUUUGGUGAGGUUUUGAUGAGUAUUGGUUUGGUGAGGUUUUGAUGAGUAUUGGUUUGGUGAGGUUUUGAUGAGUAUUGGUUUGGUGAGGUUUUGAUGAGUUUUGGUUUGGUGAGGUUUUGAUGAGUAUUGGUUUGGUGAGGUUUUGAUGAGUAUUGGUUUGGUGAGGUUUUGAUGAGUAUUGGUUUGGUGAGGUUUUGAUGAGUUUUGGUUUGGUGAGGUUUUGAUGAGUAUUGGUUUGGUGAGGUUUUGAUGAGUAUUGGUUUGGUGAGGUUUUGAUGAGUAUUGGUUUGGUGAGGUUUUGAUGAGUAUUGGUUUGGUGAGGUUUUGAUGAGUAUUGGUUUGGUGAGGUUUUGAUUAGUUUUGGUUUCGUGAGUUUUAGUAAGUUUGUUUGGUGUGUUCGAUUCACGGAGGCGAUUCUAAUGGAUAAAUAAAUAUGAUGAUGGAUAUAAAGGAAGUUGAUGCUUGUAGUUUGAUAGUAUGUAUUUCAGUUGACAGGUUUGAACGACAUAAUUAGAGAUCACAUCAGACAGACGGGGCUUUCUUUAUCCACCAACUAACUGUUCUUGCCGCUUGUCUCUGUCUCCUACUCUUUCCUCCUCUUCAUGUCCUUUACCCUGUAGUUAUUAUACCUUACUUCCCUUAAUACUAACCUUAUACCCUUCCUUUAUCUCCUAUCCUUAGUUCCUUCCUCUUUCCCUUGCUGUACCUUCCCUACUCAUCCAUUCCCUUUUCUUGCCUUACCUUUGCUUAACCCCUUGACUGCGGAUUUCCUACAAGAAGACAUCACCAAGCUACAGGAAUGGAACAAAAAGUGGCUGCUACAAUUCAAUGAAGAAAAAUGUAAAGUCCUGCACCCUGGGAGGAGAUAUCAAGCACACCAAUACCACAUGGGAAACACUCCAGUAUCCACCACAGAGGGAGAGAAAGACAUGGGACUAUAUAUAUUACCAGGCUACCACUGAAGGCCAAAUCCAUGACAAUCGCAGCGGACGGGUUAAGAAGUGCACUUUAUUCACGACCACUUCUUGCUUUACUCAUCCUACCCUGCCUACCUUCUCCCCGCAGACCAAACACGAUAUCAUCUCUUCUAGUUCCCUAUAUCUUUCUGCUUUAGCCUUGAUUAGAAGUACAUCCCUCUGUCUAUUCUUCACCCCUGCAAAACAAACAUUACAGCUUCCCCACUCAUCCACUUCCUAUCCUUGCUUUACUCUUCCCUCGCUGCCUCCAUCGCCCCAACCGCAAACACACAUCAUCCCAAUUCAUUCACUUCCUUUUCG